Molecule: non-coding RNA, 22049 nt
Organism: Microcebus murinus (gray mouse lemur)
Lineage: Eukaryota; Metazoa; Chordata; Mammalia; Primates; Cheirogaleidae
Source: RefSeq, a predicted model, not a curated record
CAGUUUUUAAUGGUAUAUUUUAUUGGCACAAAACGUUAAAAUAGCAAUAUUUAUUAAAAUAUUCUCCUUCUUUAAUGCUAUAAAUAUUAAAGGAAUUCUUUCAUGAGUAAGCUCUGAAAAUACAGUGAUAACGACUCCAGAUUAUGGGUGAGAUUCUUGCCUCAUCAGGUGAAAGUGUCACAGAUUGUGCCCAGGGGACAGCCAUAUUUUAGAGAUUUUCAUUAAAAAAAUAAUUAAGUUUUGUGGGUGGAAUUACUAACUCAAUUCAGUCACUACUGACAAACCCUUGUAUUGUCAUUAUUGCAAUGCAAAGGCUAGCAGCUCACCGGUACCAUGUUGAUGAGCUGUAAUACAAUGGGACACUAACCUUAGUUGGGGAAAAGUAUGGUGACUUUAUCCAUCAUGAUCAACAUUUAAAAAGAAGUAGAAUUUAGAACUUAAACCUUCUCCUUUGUCCAUUGUUGGAUUACAUUCUGUUCUGUAGGUAUAGAAUAGGAUGUUUUCUUCCUACUUUCACUUGCUAAUACUCUUGUCAAAAAUUACAGAUCAAUCCUGACAGUGAAAGAACCAACAUCUAAGCACAUUUUCAGCUCCCCUUCCUGGUCUCGUUGCUAGAGAACACAGGGUAAUGAAGGACAUGAGGGUUUUAUCUUGUAUUUUACUCCGAGUGCCCAUGAAAACACCACCUGGGUUUUAUAGAAAACUGCUCCAAUCCACUAUGAAAAGAGAAACAUAGCAGUGCCCCAAUACCUUCCAUGAAUACAUGAAAGAGAAUGUUUGAGGAAUCACAUUCAAUCAUGUAUCACAUUACAUAAAUACUCAUUAUUUUAUUAAUUAUUCCAUUAACUUAAUAUAAGAAUAAGAAAUUUCUUACAUUUUCAGGAUGCCUUCAUUCUGUUUUUUCAGCUUUUUUUUUUUCCUGCUGAAACUAUAUGAUCCCUGAAGCAACCCAUGUGGUUGGCAGGACUUCAUUUAUUUAUUUACUCGGUGAACAAAGUUGAGCAAAUUGAUGGUACUCAAUAAAUAGUUGUUGAAUAACCAAAUGGAAGAAGGAAACGUCCAAAUGUGUAUUCAGGAAGCAGGUGUAGACUUCAUAAAGGAACCUCAGAAUUAUAGGUAAUCAUAUAGAAAAGGAAAAUUGGAUUAUAGAGUAGCAGUAGAAACCUAGAGAACUCAAUUAACCUGAGAUUUUAAAGGGUUAAGUCAAACAGGUGUUAGUUGUUUUUAUGUGUGUGUGUGGGGGGUGUAAAAUUCUGUAGAACAAGAACAAAAACCAAAUACAAGACGAACAAGAAGAGUUCUGCUGACUUUUGACAUGAUAGACCACCAGGAAAGUGAAGAAAGUUAGAGAAACUGGGUCUUAAGUUUUAUGUCUUAUGCUUAUUUUUAAAGUGUAAUGCCUGGACCAGCAGCAUGAACAUCACCUGGGAAAGGACAGGAACCCAUCAUUUUUGAGGCAACUCACCCUAGACCUACUGAAUCAGAAACUCUGAGGCAAGGCCCAGAAACCUGUGUUUUAGCCAGUAUUCCAGGUGAUUCUGCUGCAGGUCAAAGUUAAGAACCAAUGCCCUAAAUUGUUGAAAUAACUAAAAUGUGAAGCUUGACUGGAAAAGGAGUUGGGAUUCCCACCAGAAUAAAGAGGACUAUUGGACCAGAUGUCCAGAUAUUUCAAUGGUUGCACCAAAUGAUAAUCUGAUGCUUAUAAUUAAUUACUUUCUAGCACACUGAGAUGUGACUCAAGCUCUUCAUACAGCUGGCUAGCCUGGUAGACAAACCCUUUCCAUUCACAACUUCAAUGUGAGGCUAAAAACAUUCAUGCACAAUUUUUCCUUUUUAUUGCACAUCUGCCUGAUGGCAUGGACCAAAAUGGAAUUAAUAUUCAAAUAAUUAUGUGUGGGCAUAUUCUGCUUUGUUAAAAGAUUGAGGAUGUAUUGCAAAAUACAUGUUAUAUGAAAGUCAUGUUAGAGAGAAGCAAUAGUAUAAAAAUGAAAACCAUUUUCCAUCAUAGCCUCAAAUUAAAAAAAAACCUACCUUUUCCUCACUUUCCCAUUGUGCCUGGAAUUUCACUUUUAGAGAUCUGUUCAUAGGCUCAAGCCAUUUUGUAGCUGAGAGUCAUAUUAAAAUGAGAAGGAUUCUGGAAGUAAUAUCUUCCAUUUAUUCCCAAUCAUUCAUCCCCCUAGCACGAGUUAGUUUAUUUUAUCUUGAGAUGUAUAACUACUGACCUGGAAGAAUAGACCAAAGAAUAGGUCUACGAUGUUUUACUUCAUGUGUACUCUUGGUAACCAUAUGACUCACUGGGGUUUUCAUCCCUGACAUAAAGUAGAAAUCACCUUAUUAAAAAGCAAGAGUAUGUGAACUUGAACCAUCCAAAUUCACAUCACAGAGCUGACUUAUACUCACUACAAAGAACUGAAAUGAAGAAUUAACCUGAAUGGAAGGAAAUGAAGAAUUAGUUAUAAACUGAGGUUGGACUUUGACAUGGGGUUGGGGAGAAGGUAAUAAUAGAUUCAUUGCAUCAAUUUAUUAGAUAUAAUAAGAUGUGGGCUAGCGUAAACACACAAAUCGGAAGCUAUAGAAAAUUCUCCUUUGCGGUUGGCACUGGGGUCAGGAUGAGGUUAUUGACAGAAAGGUGUGGAACAAUAGUAAGUUCACACUUGAUUCAGAGGUGAUCCUUCAAAUAGGAUGUGUGCUGGCCUUUGUGCCUUUGCAGUUGCCUGGCCUCACAGAGCUUCAGCCAGGGUCUUUUAGACCCAUUAAUAGCAUAAUAAAAUUAGUGAUAUUUGAUUAAGCAGUUUUAACAAUUUAAUACCAAACAUCCUAUAGGAUUAGCUAUAGGCUAUAGUAAUUGAAUGUCCAAGUAAGGAGUGUGCAUAGAAUGUCAUGCCCUUACAUUAGUUUAGGUCUGUAGUUUAAGUCCUUUUCAGGGUGUGCCAUGAACAAAAAAAAUAUGUACCUCUUAUACAUACUACUUUCCUUUUAAAACAAAGUAAAAAAUAAUAAAAGGAGAAUGUUUCAAAUUUAUAUAAUUAACUCUUCCACUAUAAACACAUUAGAAAUUGUGCCAUCCAUUCUUAAUUAAAUAGCAUUUCACUGUUGAUUUUUUAAUAUUAUUUUUUAAAGAGCUCAUUUUAGAGACUAUUUUUCCAUUAUUUUUGCUUUCUUAUGUUGGAAGAACAAAGCAAGAUGAUUUAAUUGGUCUAAGAUUGGCCAGAUAUUCUUAAAAGUAUGAACGAGCUAGUGAACUUUCAUUAUAUUCUUAUAAAAGUACUAAUCAAAAUAUACACUUCUGAUCUGACAUUCACAAGUCAUAAUGUAAUAAGAAGAAUCUAGCUUCAUGCUCGUUGUGUUCUAAGAGUGUAAAUCACUUUAUGCAAAUUUCCAUUUUUAUGAAGUAGAAAUUCUGAAUAUUUUUAGCCUUGAAAUAGCUUUAAAAUGCAAUAAUCUUUUGGCACCAGAGCUUAACAAGGACAAAUAUCGUGCAGUGAAACAAAAGGUCACCUGAUUGAGAGUAUUUAAAUAUAUUCUUCAUCCUUAUGCAAAACUAGAUAGUAUAUUUUUUGUUCUAUUUUCCACAAAGUGAAAUUUAUGAAGCCCUGUUAAUUUUUUUAUUGUAUUCUACUUUUCCUGCUAAAUAUCAUUGCAACAUUCCAUAGGGCUGCUAAUUUUUUAUUAGUAAAUUAUAUCACCAGAAGUUCUUUAUGGGAAGUUAUACUUCAAUUAGGAUUAAUACCAAACCAUAAGUAUCAAACUAAAAUACAUAAAAGCUCUCCUUGGUGCAGGAGGUUAAACUUGUAUGUGUUUUUCUUAUGGAGACAAUUUUGCUAUUGUGAUAUUUACAAAAGAACAAAUAUAGUUUAUUGGCAUCAUUAUUUAAAAUGCUAAAACAAGGGUGAAAAAACAGGUGUCUUUUAGUACUUUUCUGCUAAUAAAUUAAGUCAUUUGGUCUGUGAAUUUCAGCCUAAUGGCUUAUAAAGUAAAGAAACACUAUUAUGGGACUUUUUCUUCUUCCAGUGUGACAUACACACAAAAAUAACCCCCAAAAACCUGAAAACCAAUUUAAGACUUAAUUUACAUAAAGUAAAUCAACUUGAGAGAUUUGGUAGCAAUUAAUAAUAUUGCAUGAUUCGUUUAUAAUGAUCAUGAUUAUGAAUCAUGUUAUCACUGGAAUUCAAGGUGCAUGUGGAAAUGCCAAGUAUUAGAGGCUUGUAAAGGAAAACAUGUGUUUUCUGCAUUGUUAAAAGCUUGUUUGUUUUACUUAAUAUGAGGCUAGUGUUUAUUAUAAUAUUAAUAUCCAAUCACUUUCUAUGGGGAUUAAGUGAGAAAGUUCUAUUUUGUGAUGCCAGAUGUAGUUACUGUCACUCUCAGAAGUCGAUUUUACAACUUUGCAAUUAGUGUCCAAAACGAACAAUUACUAGCUGCUUUGCUUCUCUAGCAAGAAUCAAGAGACCAAGAAAGUAAAAUUGACCUGAACUUGCAGAAGAGUUCAAAUGCUAAGUCCUGAAAUUAAUUAGAAGAUGUAUGACCAGGCUUGAUCUUGAUUCUAAUCCAAUUCUAAUUAAACGUACACCAUGAACCAAGAAUUCGCACACUGGGAAGGCUUAUUUUUUUAUUUAUUUAAUAUUUUUUAGUUACUCUAUUUCAUGUACAGGCUGAAAAUAAGUUCUAAUUAGCUGAGCAUUCUCUGUGGUCAGGAGCACUGAAUAAAAGUUGAGCCUGUAAAUGGACAGAAAGCAGAAAACAUGCAGUGAAUGAUUCAGGAGGUAGUAGAAUCAGAGAGAAAUUCCUCUUGUAGUCACUGUUUUAUUCUCAACAGUCUUAAUGGCUUAGUAACCUGUACAUAUUAAUAUGCUAUCUUUUAGGUUAUCACAAGGGAAGAAAGAUAAAACCAAAAGUAAACAUGGAUUAUAUACAUCAUUGGUGUAUAAAGCCCUACAUCAAAUACUGUGAAUAUGUCAUCCUCUAAACUCUCCUGUGUGUCUUCCAGGGUAGGGGGAACUAGACCCUUCUGAGCAUGUUUUGGGUCUCGCCCAUCUCUGUGCUUUCCCAUCAUCCUUUUGGGUUCCUGUGAAAUGUUCCCUAAUUUCUGACACAUUUCCUGAACUGUUUAUGACCAGUCCUGUCCCGUGAACCACCAUAGCACUUUGAUUGUACCUAUCUUAUUCCCCGAUGGUAUUCCAAGCACUUUUGCAUGUUAGAUGGGUCUAUAUCAGUGAACAAAACAAAAUAAAUAUUUUCUCUCUUGGAGAUUACAUUCUAAUAUGGUGAGACAAUAAAUAUAAUAAAUAAGAAAUUAUAUCAUAUUUUAGAAAGAGAUAAUGGCAAUAGAAAAAAUAUAGAAGGGGGAAAGCAAGUGGGGAAAAUUUUGAGAGUGGGGGAAAUUGCAAUUUUAAAUCCAGUGGUUGAGGAAUGCCUCACUGAAAAGGUGACAAUUGAGCAAGACUUUGAAGUGCUUGCUUAAGAUUUAAAGAAGCACAUUCCAGAUGGCGUGGCCAGGGAAGAUGUCCUAAGGUGGGAGUUUGGCUGGGGCAGACUUAUACAUGAGAGGAGUUGAUUUAAGUCAUAGACUCACCCUGGGUCAGAUGUCAUAACGCUUUGUUGGCAAAUGUAAGGACCCUGUUUUGACUCUAGUAGGUUGGAAGCCAUUGGAGAGUUUUGAGCAGAGGGGCACCAAAAUCUGAAUUAGGUUUCUAAAGCACCACCAUCAUUCUGGAUGCUGGAUUGAGAAUAGGCUCUAGUGGGCAAGGGUAAAAGUGAGAAUUAGUAAAAGUCUACUAUAAGAAGCAGGCAAUGACAAUAGUGACUUGGACUGAGUAAUAGCAUUGGAGGUGAUAAGAAGUGGUCAUUUUUUAAACAAAAAUUAAAGAUAAGGUCCGUACAAUUUUCUGGGAUUGGAUGUAUGGUGUGAAAGAAAGAGGAGAGUCAAAGAAUACCCCAAGGUCAUCUUAUAUCAUAAUUAGCAAACUUGCCAUAUUCAUUUCCCCACUAAACUGUUGAAUGAACAUAUCCCCCCACACAGCAUACACUUGCAUUCCUCCUCAAUAAUUUAGACUGAUGGUCUACACAAUAUGGUUAAUUUCUCUGUGGAUUGUGAAAAUUAAAAAGGAAAGCAGGGUUAGCACCAGUUAAAAGAUUUGAAAGGGCUAAAAUCUUUUAUUCUAAUUUUGAAUUAGAUGUAAUUUUGCUUCAGGCUAGCUGAAAGAGUUCUGUAAGUGACAAUUUAAACUUAAAUUAAUCUCACUUUAAAGUCUUUUUAAUAAAGCUUUUCUAUGAAACAGUGAAAAGCUAGCAGUAUGAGGGCUAUAACAUUCCCAGGAAUACGUAAUCUAAAACUAUAACUUAAUUUGAAUUUUACUGUGCCUUUUAAUUAAAUUCCAGAUUUUACAGACAAUUAAUAUACACGUAUAAGACAUAUCUAUCCAGAAAGCAGUGUGAAGGGGAGAAUUUAGGCAUUUAUCUUGAUAGUGAAAUCUCCAAAUCUGGAUUCCAAGGAAAAAGAUUGAGUCAGGAUUGGAAUUUCAUUAGAUAUAAAUACUAAGUCAGCAAUUAUUCCAUUCUAUAAUUGACUUUAUAUGGACAAGGGCAUAUUUUUGAGAAGGACAAGAGUGUAAUUCAUGCAGAUUUCCCCACUUUAGAAAAGUAUUUUGUAUCAGGAUGGUGCAUUUUUUCCAAACUAAAAUUAGAUGAAAAUUAGCCCAAAACAGAAAGCUAUGAUAAAUGAGGCUUGGAUUUUAUUCUUGGAGAAGCAAUCUAAAAAUAAAUAAUAUAAGAAAAGUAAAAUUUGUAAAUGCGAAGAACCACAGAAAAAUCUUACUACAAUCAAUUAUUUUUUACUGUUUUGAAUAACUUUAUAUUCUAUAAAGGGAGUUAUUACAAAUAGAUUGACUGCAAUUCACACUUCUAUCAUAUGUUAUAAAGUUUAGAGUUGGAGUGUCUGUUUCCUAAUAUGGUUGACUUUUGGUUAUUCAUUUCUACCUGAAGGGAGAUAUUUAUUUAGAAAAUGGCAUGGCCAUUCCAGGAAAAGGAGACAGCAUGAUUUAAAUAUCAACUGCAACUUAAGAAGAAUGAUGACAAUAAUGUUAUUAUAGGCACAUUUAAUCAGAGAAAGUGACAAACAAUUUGUUGUAAAACACGUAAAUACUAGUUGAUAACUCAUUCUGGCCACAUAAAGGACAUUAACUUUUUCACACCAACACAGAGAAAAUCUUACGUAUAGCACAUACUUAUGCAUACUACAAAUGAUAAACCAUUGAAAUGCAUGAUCCUGCUAUCAUGUGUUCAUGCUUUGAAGGUAAAAUAGGAUAAUUACGAAAAUACUAGAAUAGGCAAAGAACAUGUAAGUAAAUAGAUGAGGACAAAUGGAAAAAUUGUUGCUUUACAACCAUCAAUUUACAAAUAUUUUUCUAUAAUUCAACACAAUAUUUACUGAACACCUACCGUGUGCCAGGCUGCUGCAAAAUGUGGGAGCUUGAAAGAUUGACCGAUAACAAACAUAGCUAGGAUGUAGCACAUUUUCAGAUAAACCUAGAAUGCAACAUAUAUUACUGAGAGAGAGUUGUUUAUUAUUUAACAUACCUUUAAUUAUAAUUAUAAUUAUAUAUUUAUUACAUAAACAUAUUCAUAACAAAAGGUUUAUUUUACACUUUAAGACAUUCCUGUUCCAAAUAUCUUCUAGAAUACUAAGUAAAGGGAAAAUACUUUGUAGAAGGACAAGGACAUAUACAAAAUUAUGGCAUCAAUUUCAUCAAUUUCCUGCCUCAGAGGAUUAAGUGUCAAUCUUUCUAAGGCUGAUAUUUCUAUUUUUUGUUUUUAUAGCUCUCCUUUUUACCUCUUUAAGUAUCUAUGAACUAGUUCUCCUAUUCUGAAUAUUCAAUAAUUUUUCUCUACUUUUUCUUUUCAUUUCAUAAUCCUUUAGUAUAUAACAAAGCCAUCUCAUCUAGAUAUUGUCUUCUUGCUUUCCAUUCACACCCACACUAAUUCUUUCUUGAAGGUAAUAUUUUUCUUGAGUCCACAUAAACUUUGGAAUUCUGUUGACCAGUAAUAUUUAUAAAAGAAAAUUUAGGGUCAAUUUAUGGUCACAAAUUUUUUGUUUUACCACAAGAAAAAAAAUUAAACGUAAUUCCCUAUUACUCCCAUUACUAUAAUUUUAUUUAGAAAGGAUUUAAAUCUCCCAGAGAAGGAAAUAAACAUUCAUAAGUAUCUUUUGCCUUUUUGUUUCUAUUUGUUUUAAUUACCUUCAGCUUUGUAUUUCCAGAUUUCCCCAUGGGUCCAUAGAAAUGUCUUCCUCAGAUUAAUGAAGGAUCUGAGAUAGGUUUGGUCACUGCCUGGUCUACUUCUUGCUCCUUCCUCACCACCUGUCUUCUCUGCAAUUUCUACUUUCUGCCCUUCCCUGUCUGCUGCACUUACAGUGGUAACCAUGACCAGAGAGUAGCCAAGUCCAGUGACUCUGACGGUUAUCAUUGCACUGUACGCGCUUUCAAUUUUUGACAGCCAACCACCCACUUCUUUCACGGAUUUUUGUGACACUGCUCUAACCUGUUUUUACUACUUUGUGACAGCUCCUUUUUUUGUGUCCUCUUCUUUCUUUUCACAUAAAAUUGGGCAUUUACAGUUUCUGACAACAGUUUCUAGUUUGACAUACUUCUUGCCUCAGUGUGGUAUUCAUUCUUAAAGUUUUCACUAUUAUUCUUGUGAAAUUGACUCUACAACAUAUAUUUUUAAUCAUGAUCUCUCCUCUCACGAUUCAUGAUUCAGCAGUUCAUUUUUAAAAACAUGAUACUAAAUGAAUGUUAAUUAGAAUUCCAGACUAAAGCCAUCAAAACUGCAAACAUAUUCCAUCAUCAUUUCUCUCCCUUUGCUACCCACAAUACAAUCCAGAUCCUCCUACUCGUGUUUUUAAAAAAUUUCAAUUAAUAUUACUGUAAUAACACAUUUACAUUAAAAACAAUAAUUUCUGAGGUGGUUCCUUCCUGUGAGCAAGUCACCAAGUCUUAUUUAUUAUCUGUCUUCAAAAUUUCUUACAAUUCUCUCUUCUUUUCCUUAACUUACUAGCUAUAUGUGGUUAUAUUGAGCAAGUGACUUAUUUUUUUUCUGUAAAAUGAAUAUAUCUCAGGUCUAAUAAAGAUUCUGUGAAUAUUUUAUCCUUCCAUCCAUGUUAAAUGCCUGCAUAGUUCUUGUUGAUCUAUUUAUUUCUCACUCUAUCCUGAUUCUAAGCUGGGUUCUUACAAAAUUCAAUUAUUUCCCACCUGUCAUCAGUAAAGUGACAUCCUGUUCUAGAUUAGAUGCCAUCCUUCAUAAUUAUUCUCCUAUGACGAUCUACUUCUCAAUCCUUUCUUUGCUUAUAAAUUGUUAAUGGAUCAGCAUUGCUACUUUUAAGACCCUCCACAUUACACCUAUCCCAGCUCUCUUUCCCCCUUUCCAAUAUUAUUCCAGUCUUAUUGAGGGAAAAAAAAAAGUAAUAAUGAUUAUGAACUCUAUUUUUACCCAAAUAAGUUAAAUGAACUAAACAAGUUAUUUUGGUACCUAAAUCCUUAGUAUUCUUAUUCUCAGCACAAGCACAAUGAUUGGCACACAAAAGGUGGCUAAUAAAGAGAUACAUACAUUCACUCUGUUUCCUUCCAUUUCAGUCUGGUCAGGUUUUGCAACCUCUGUGCCUUUUCUAAUCCUUCCCUCUCUACAAACAUGCUAACCACAUUACAGAUACCAUAUUAUGUACUUCUCCCCAAACUUAGCUCCAUUUUACAGCCUAGAGAAGUUAAAGACCUGUCAGAUUAAGAACCAUGUUGAAUCUUCCACGAAAACUAUUGGAUCUAGUAUUGUAGAAACGCUACUGCUUUUACCUGUCCCUGUAAAACCUGAAAAUUCUAUUUUGGCCAUUUAAUUUCUCAGUGGAUUUUAAGUCCCGUGAACCACACAGUAGAAGUAAAUAAAUAAUAAUCUUGGUAAUAUGAGCAGUGUGUUGAAAUGCUAAAACCACCAGGUAACCAGACUUUACUAAAUUUUGUCACUAAUUUGCUGUGUGGUUGUGGGACAAGCCACUUGGUGUCUUGGGGCAUCAGUUUUCUUUUCUGUUAAAUGAUAGUGCUGAAACAGGUAAAUUUUUUAAAUUCUCCCUAAGCUCUAAAUAGUGUGAAUGUCAUUAUCAUAGUGUGCAUGGAAUAGAUUGCAAUUCAAUUUCUUAGUAAAAACCAAAAGAAUACAUAUCUGACCUAUCAGAUCGUAAUUUGGCCCUGAGUGAAGAAUCAGGUGCUAAGAAUAUAUUUUAUGAGAUGAAGAAUAUAAUCUUCUUGACAAAAUGAAAAUCCAAAGUGAAAAUUGAUUUGAUUUAAUAUAGUCAAACAUCUGGAUAUGUGACUAAAAUUUUCAGUUUCCAUAUGGAUAUUUGACUUUGUGUGAAUAAUAUCGACUUUAUGAAAAUGGAAACUCAAUUCUUGUCAAAAUAAAUAAUCAGGCUUAUCUAAUUUGAAAAAAGAAGUGAUUUUAAAAAUUUGGUUAACUAUGCCUUAAAGACAAUAAUAAGUAUUUGGGGCAUUCUUUCAUCCCUUUCCUGUUAUUUUAGAGUUAAAUAUAUCUUAGCAUAAUAUGCAAGUAUUUGCAAAGGGAAAAUAUAAGACAUAAUUAUAUUAUGCAUAAAAUGCAUUUUCAUUUGAUUUUUUAAGUUUUUCAUUAUUUUUUAACCAAUUCUCUAAAUCCUAACCAUUCACCUUUUUGUGGAUUAUGACCUUCUCCACUGUCAGACUCUCACCUAAAAACAAGACAAAUAUAACUGAAAUUUAAAAAUUUUUAAAUGUCACAAAAUAUCAAGUGAAUAAAGAAGACAAACAAGUCAAUACAUAUUUAUGUAUUUCUUGGUUGAUACUCUUAUAUUUCAUGGACAAAGAAAAAUAGUAACCCAGAAUUUAAUUUCAUUUCAGAGGUUGUGGAAUGCUCAGUGAAGUUUCAGGGGCCUGGAGUAUCACUAGGUUAAAGUAUCAAUGGAAAUUAAUUUUAAGAACACAACAGCAGGUCUUUAAACUAUUUAGCAGCAAGCAUACCAUCUCCUAUGGUAGAAAGAGGUAUAAUUAAAAAGCUAUCAAUAGUCUGGGAUUGUCAAAACUACUUUGUCACCUGAAGCACAUUUCUUAUAAUUAUCUUUUAGGCUUUAAGCUAGAUCACCAUUAACCUCUGAAGAAAAAGGGUUACUAUGCUUUCUGGUGUGAGAAAUUGUAUCAUCAUGUAAAUUAAGCCCCAUUCGACAGUCAAAUUAGAUUUGGGAAAUGAUUGAGUAUUAAGCCUACUCAUGUAUAUUAUCAAAUGACACAAAGUAUGAGGGCACCAAGGGAAGAAGCUUUCCUCUUUUUCAAAGAUUUUUUGAGAUUCCUUAUGUGCAUAGAAUAUGAUUUUAAGCAUACAUCAGAGACAUAAAAUUGAAGCAGUAGAAGGAAAACUCAAAGAUAUUUUUAGCCUUUCCCCAAAGAUUUCUUUUCAGCUCUCAGACAGUACAAAAUGAGUCAACACUUAAGUAAGCCAGAAAUAAUAUAACGAGUCUGCAAAAUUACAGCUACCUGCAGCUCAGAUCUUCAAUCAAGUAAUUGUUAAAGCCUCACUAGAAGGAGGAACGAAUAUGUUCUCAGGUGAACUCACUUAAUAAUUUUAACCUCAUUGUCAAAAGAAAGGAGUCAUAAUUAAGAUAGCACAAUACAUGAAGCAGAGAGCAGCACUACUGCACCCUCCUGAUGAUUAAUGUGUAUCCCUGAGGUGGUCUCUUUAGUUGUGGAUCAACGAAAACCAUGUAGCCUUCUCGCUCUGCAUAAGAAGUUGGUGCCUAAUGACAAAUAAUCAACUACUGUCAUUUCUAGCUAAUGUUGAGCUGACUACUGGUUGUGAAAAAUUAUGUCAGUUAAUGUAAGUGAUUUUCAUCUGUAGGUAGAAUACAGUCUACAACUACAUGUCUACCAUCAUACUAAUCUAACUAUGGGUAGUAAGAGGACUUGGGAGAGUAUUCUAUUGUGGUUAUUGCUUGCAAAGAAACACGUAGGCAGAGUUUCUCAACCUCAAAAUGAUGGACAUUUGGGACCAGACAUUUUUGUUCAUGUUGAGGGCUGUCCUGUGCAAUGUAGUAUGUUUUAGCAGAAUCUCUAGCCUCUAAUCGGUAGAUGCCAGUAGCAACCCCUCACCCUCAGUUGUGACAAAUACAGAUGUCCUCGGGCAUUGCCAAAAUGUCUACUAGGAGGCAAAGUUGCUCCCAGUUGAGAACGACUGGUGAAAGAGCUUUGGAAAUGCUCUACAGCCUAUAUGAUUGUGUCUAUAUCUACAUCUAUAUUUAUAUGAAGAGAUAUAUGUACAGACACAUCUAUACUCACGUUUAUCUAUACACAUCAUUAUAAGCAUACAUGUGUACAUGUAUAUAUAUCUAUAUAGGCUUGUAUAUAAUAUACAUACAUCUAUAUAUACAUAUAUGCAUGUAUAUACCAAUCCAGUUGUAUAACUAUAUAUCCAAUUACAUAUAAACUAUAAUGCAUUUAAAUAUACUAAUAUUUGUAAAUAGAAGUAAACAUGUAGACAAAGAGUAUAUGCAUGUGUAUGUAUUCAUAUGUGUUCGUAUAUAUACACAUGCAUAUAUACACAUAUGUGCGCACAGAUAUGUAUAGAUAUGCACCAUAAAACCAUGAAGUCUGAAAAUAUAGAUUAUAUUUUUAAAUGUUUUUACAGAUUGAAGAUGCCCUUGACAACAUUAGUUAUAUUUGCAUAUGCUUCCAGAUUUCAUUAUGGACACUCUUUUUAGAUGUGAAGUUUUACAGGAACGACAGAAAUGAGUGAGAGGAUCCUAUAGAACACAUGCAAAAAUCUGGAGGCUUGGCACCUUGCAGAGAAACUGUGAGCCUGCGUGUAGAAUUUCUUCAGCAGAAGAUCUUUCCUGCAAGUUGUUCUCUGAAAAGGAAGUUCUGUGGUGAACUUAUCCUAUCCAAGGAUAACACUACAUUGCUAUAAUUUCUUCUUCUUAGAGAUUUACAGCGCAUAUUAGCAUAUUAAAGACUCUUUAUUCUGAAGGAAAAAAUAUUGCCUUCGACACGGCAUAUUCCAAGCUUAUUUGAACACAGAACCAUCAAAUUUAUUUAUAUUUUGAAAUGAAUUUAUUUAUUUACUUUAGCUCUUUGUGUGGCCAAAUUCCUUCAACAAAAUUAAUUUUUCUUGGAACACAGGGAUAACUAUGAUAAUAAUAAUUAUAAUUGCUCCAGAUGGAUAUCUAGGUACUAGGUCCUUUAAAUAAAAUAACUCAAUCAGUCUUCACAGCAAUCUGAUAGCAUAGGAACAAUUAUUACUAUCUCUAUUUAUUAGGCAGGAAAAUGAGAUCUGGUGGGCUAAGUAACCAGCUAAAGUCCACAACCUAGUAAAUCAUGAUAUUGCAUCUCAAAUUUGAUAAUACUGAUAUGUUUAAAACAUAAACAAAUAGAAACCAAAAGUAUUAAUAACUUGCUGCCCAAGUUACUAUUGUUAUUUAGAGGCAGAACAGGGAUUAUCUACUUAUGCUCAAUGCCCUUUAGCUGGUCCAUUUGUAUUAUUUUUUUUCUGUUAUUUUUCUCCUAAAUUAGAUAAUACUUGCAUGAGUGUACACUUCCUUCCUUACACUUCCAUCUGGGUUCCAGGAGCACGGUGUAUGUAUAUUGACAAUUAUCAUGCAUUAGUCAUUUGAUAUAUUGCAUUAAACAGUUUAUAUUAACAGUUUGCAGAAUGCCUCUUGUGUGGCAAUUGUCCAGUAAAUCUUCGUAGAAUCACUUUGAUUCAUCCUGCCCCAUGGCCAAGGCCUACGGCCUUUCCAUGACAUGUUACAUGUCCAUACAGAGAAUAAUAAAACCUGUUUAUAGUUUUAUUGCCAUUAAUAUGCAUGGUAGCCUUUGAUAUGUUCUCUAAUCCUCUGAAUUGUUAAUAACUAAAAGAUGUUUAUCACUUGCUUUCAAAAGAAAGGUGUUGAAGAAUGUAAGGACUUGUGAAUUAAAAUCUGUAAGCAUGUUCACCUCCUCAUUAGAGAGUGCAACAAAGUACAAAGACAUGAUCAUUUCUCUAAGCAAGAAGAUGAAUUUAGACAGAGAGAUCACACUGUAUCCUGACAAAGAAUUUGUGAGAAGAACAUCUGUUCCCUGCUGCGCAUGGCAUCCCUCUUCUUUUGGUUCAGUCUGGGCUUUGGAUUGUGGACACAUUCUUUGCAAAGCUCAGGUUUGGCUAAAGUUAUGGCGAAGUGGAACUCCUUAUUAGCAUAGUUGACACUGGCUUUUAUAGGACAUUUGAUUUGGCUCAGGUAGUUAAGGGAGGUUUGAGAAAAUACCUGGCUGAAUGUUAUUUCACGUUGUGACACUUAUAAAUGGUGAUGCAAAUUUUAAAAACCUGACAGGCAUCAAUGAAUUGUGUGAUAUAUAUAUAAAUCUCAGGCACUAGAUAGACUUUAAAUUGAUGGUAUCACACCAAGCAGUGAUAUAAAAGCACUAGUAGCACUUAGCCUUAUAGGCUAAUAGCUGCAAAUGAUUUUAUGAAUCAUUAGUUUAGAGAUGUGGUCCUACCCAUUUUUAAAACCCAGUAUAAAUUAACAUAUUUUGCCUGUGACAAGAUGUUAAUGAUUUUAGAGAAAAGAGGCCAUCUGAUGAGGUAAAACUCUCCCAAUUUUAUGCCACUGGACUUUUUAUAUUGCAAUUAAUAUGAUUAUGACUAAUUAGAAUUCUUGACUGGUAAAGAAUGAAGACUGAUAGUUUAACAGAUCAAUACCCAUUAUUUAAUGUCCCGAGUUAGACUGGUUUUUGAAGCAUGACACAGGCAAUAUGUAAUUAAAAUUUAAAACAUUUUUAAGGUGGUUCUUAUUUGUGAUAUUUAACCAAAGCAUAAGAACUGAGAAAUUGAGAAAAACUGAGACCAUCCUUUUGGCUGACGUUAAGUAGUUAUUUUCCUUUUUUAGUUCAAUUAAUGUUCCCUUCCUUUUGGUAGACACAGUUGGGUAAGUGUUCAAAGUGUUUUGUGGUGAUUUUAUGGUAGAAUUCCCAUUAAAAUAAACAUGAGCUACAUGGGUAAAUUAGAGCAUGCUGCUUUGAAAAGGUACCCCACUAUUUUCAGCAUAUUAAGCUGUCAGAAGCUGAUAAAAUCAGGCUUACAUCCCUAAUUGGAGAGUAUGUUUAGAAUGCAUUUAUAUCCUUUUCAUCAAACUUGGUAUGAAAUUAAAAUGGUAGUAUCACCUGAUUAUGAACAGGUGUCUAUAGGACAUGAAACCAAUGUACAUUCUAGAAAUAUUCCUGAAAUAUCCUUGAAAACUUCAAAAUUUCAUACAUCUAUACUGGUGAGUUGGUAUUAAUAUGUGCCCAGUGGACUUUGUUAUAUUUCAAGAGAAAGAGUCUGAACUUAUUUCACCAUUUCUGUUUCUGAUACUGUGUAUGACAGCUUAUCCUUACCUUUCUUUGAAUUUCCAAGGCUGUUUUUGCAAUCAGUCCAUAGAGUAGCAUGCCCACUAAUCAAUUAACAAAUAAUUACUAAGCAGGUACUGUGAAGCAAAGCAAUGUGCUGGCCUUCUUCCCUAUACUUUAUGGGACUCUCUAUUUGACACUCCGAUGAUCAGUAAAUAUUUACUACUUUGCAUUUUUCUUUUAAAUUAAAGACGAGAAUUACUAAUAAGCAGGCAAUAGCCCUAAUGCACAAUGAGAUGUAGAUUUGUGUUUAAGCCUGUGUACUACCAGAGACAGUAGAUAUAGUUAAAACCAUGGCCUCUGGAGCUACAUGAAAUUUAGCUCCAAUUCUAAUUUUCUUACUGAAUAUUUGUGUGAUCUGGGCUUUUUACUUAGCCUUUCGCUGCCUCGGUUUUCUCAACGUAAAAUAAGAAUAAUAAUAGAAUUACUGAAAAGUGUUCUUCUGACGAUCAAAUGAAUUCAUGUAAAGUGCAGAGAUUAAAACUAUUUCUGGCAAAAAGUAAACACUAUGAUUGUGUUCAGGUGUUGUUAUUGACAUUUUCACAGAGCUGGGUUGGGACAUAGACCCUGAUUUUAAUUCUUUUCUCCCAAUUUUUUUAACUUUGUGAUAUUGGGUACAUGACAUUAAUGCAUCAAGUCUGAUCCAUAUCCUUCUCUUAGUCUUACUGUGUUGAUUUUAUCAUUCUUAUGAUUUUCUUAAAGUUCAUUGAAAUUUGCAAAAUGCAUUCUUCUAAAUGUUAAUAAUAAUCACUGGCUCCCUGUUGUUGUGACGGAUAAAUGUAAUUUUAUGUGCAUCAUUAAGGACUACGUUGGCCCCGUGUGUCUUAAUUAUACAAGACUAGAGGAUAGGAUUUCCCCAAGCCACUGUAGUAGGCACCCUGUAUCAAGGCCUGCAGUGUAAAGGUGAUAAAGGUGGUAACCACACUGUGAAAGGGAGGAACUGCACUCCAUGGCAAGUCAGUAGGGCUAGCGGUCAGCAGGGGUCAGUACUGUCUUCAGCUGAGCAAUGCAACCACGCAUUUCACCUUCAUUACACCAAUGUCCUCUUCGUGGAACCAUGUUAUUGUAACAAUCUGGAUCCUUAAGUCCUUAACUUAAUCCAUAGCCUUAAAUUCACGGUCUUAAGUCCUUAAGGUACAUAUAUUUAUGUGCUUAUUAUCAUGUCUUUAUAUUUAUAAUCCUUAAAUGCUCUAUAGGGUAGUAAAUAUUGAUGACUGCAUAUUUCAUCUAUAUUUACUAUUCUAUCCUAUAUGCAGACACACACACAUAUACAUGCAUAUAGAUAUAAAAUUCCCAAACUUUGGGAAUUCCUGUAACCUUAUUCUAGAAUUUCACAGAGGCAUAGAACAGACACAAGAUGACUUUGUGAGCUGCUGAAUUAUGCAAAGUUUGCAUAGUUGACCUUAAACGGUAGGUAAUUUUAAGUGAAAUUUGAAAAAAAAUAAAAUGUUACAAUUGAUAAAAAUAGAAUGUGUGUGCAAGGCAUAAAAUUAGUUUUCAUAUGAUUUCUAAUGAUACUCUACAUUAAAUGAGGAGUUUCUUGCUUCAAUUUAAUGGAGGAAAUAUCUAUUCAUAUUCUACGUAAGUCUUCUCAUCACAUAGUUUAAAGAUAAAACAAGUAUUAAAUGAAAUUAAAUAAAAAGAUAUGACAAACUAUUAGCAAACUCUUGUAAUUUUUUAUGACUUUAUCUUUAAAGACAUUUUAAAAUCUCUAUUUCUUUAACAAAAUCCACUAAAUCUAAGUAAGCCACUGUGGUCUUUUGUAAUAUUUAAAACAUCUUUAAACUUUUGUGGACUUAUUUAACCUAUAUUAGUCCUAAUAUGGGAGAAAUAAUGCAUUACUUAAUUACAUAAAUUAUUAUAAAGUAUUUAGAAAAACAAUUCCUAUAAACAAUUCCUUAUAUUCUUUAAAGAAAUAACAUUUUGCUUUUUUAGGAUUCUAAAUUAACUGGAAACUUUAUUUAUGAUAAUUUCAGAAAUAUAUAAUGUAACAUAGUAGAUUCAAAUACUAUUGGAAGUGCAAUAUCACCAGAGCACAGGACUCUAACCCAAAUUUUGUCUGGUAAUUGCAUCUAGUCUUCACUGAUGUUUUAAGUUCAGUUUGAUUCAGCAAGUACUCACAUAGUGAGCAUCAGAUUUCUAAGGCCACUUGGUUCUGUAGCCCCAGUCUGGCCACCCAGGCACUGACACAUCUGCAGAGUGACUCUCUGGUCAUUAUGAUCUCCAAAUUCUACAAAUGGUAAACUCUAAGAAUCCUACACAAUUUGAUACAUUGAAUAAAUGUUUACUGCUCUCUUCAAGAGAAGAAAUUGUUUAUAAGUCAAGAUAGCAAGGAGCUGAAGAGUUGGAUCCACUGUGAUUUACCUUUGUUUCUCCAAACAAUUGAUUAAAUGGUAAUUUUUUUUUCAAAUGCAUAUAUCAAAGCCCUAAAGGAAUUCGCUAUUUGAAGGAAUACUUGGAGUGAACUGUUUGUCUUAUUUUUUGUCACUGGUUUGUAGGGGGGAAUAAAAGAAAAUUUUAAUAUGGGAAAUAUUUUCAAAUUUUGAAUAAAAAUAUAUUACACAUGGUUCAGCUGAAAAUUGAGGACAGUCAUGUCAUAGCCCUUCUUUGUCUUUGUGAGCCAGACAACCCAAAAUCAUAUCCUGUCUACAUGGGGAAAAUCCUAGUGAAAAUAAGUGCUAGCAACUGCUAUAGUUUAUGGAGCAGUUAUUAUGUCCUAGUUGGUUUUCCUGUAUUAUCUCAUUAAACCUCACUACUACCUUGCAAGGUAAAAACUAUUCACUUUCUUUACUGAUGUGGAAACUGUGUUUCAGAGAGGUUAAAUGAGGUUAGGAGAAGUCUAAGGAGACAGUUUGCAGUUGAAUUAUUACAAAAACUAAGAGUCAGUAUUGAUUCCUUCGUUCACACCUGUAUCAUUAAACUACUUUUGGGUCUUAGAUAUUGGAGAUAGGAAAUAAAGCUAUUUUAAAGUAACACUCAUUUAUAACUUCUUACUUAGUCUAAGAUCAUUAGUAUCCUUUUUCUUUCCUCUUUUCCACAAAAUGGAAGCUUUUUUAAAACCACUCUUUAUGUAUUUUUGUGGAUUUCCCCAACAGAAAAUUGUAAUGUUUCCUUUUAAUUUCACUUAAUUAUCUUUUACAGAAUAUAAGCCUUAUAAAUUCCAAGGUUUUAUGUUUAUAUUUCUCAAAAAUUCCCACCAAUAAAAGCUAAAAUCCCAUAGGAUAUCAUUUCCUCUCUUAUAAAAUGAAGCUACUACUUCUUACCUGAUAGGCUUUUUAUGACAAGUAAAUGAAACGAUGGGAGCAUUUAUAUGUAUUAUUACCUUUACUGACUAGUGUAGGCAGAAUAAUGGCCUCCAAAAAAUGUCCAUGCUCUAAUCCCUAGAGCUUGUAUGUCAGUUAAAAGGCAAAGGGGAAUUAAAAUUGUAAGUGGAAUUAAGUUUGCCAAUCAGCUGACCUUAAAAUAGGGAGAUUAUCCUAGUGCCCAGGUGGAUCCAGUGUAAUCACAGGAGCCCCUUAGAAGAGGGAGGCAAAAAGGCCAGAGUUAAGGGGAAGUGUCAUUAAGAAAGAGGUCAGAUGAUAGUAAGUGACAAGGGCUCACUCAGCCAUUCCUGGCUUUGGAGAGGGAGAGUGGAGGACCAUAAGCAAAAGAAAGUUGGCAGUCAGUGGAAUUGGUAAAGGCAAGGAAACUGAUUUUAUCCUAGGGUCUCCAGAAGGAGCUAGCCCUGCAGAUACCUUGAUUUGGGCCAAGGGAGACCCAUGUCAUAUUUCUCACCUACCUGUAAUGUAAGAAAAUUAAUUUGUGUUGUGUUAAGGCACUGAGUUUAUGGCAAUUUUUAUAGCAGCAAUAGAAAACUAAUAUGCUACCUUUAUUAUAUAAAUUAUCAUCCUCAUUAUGCUUCUCCCAGUUAUAAAUUUCUGAGGAUUUUCAAACCUAUGGAUUCCUAGAGAUUUGAGGUUUUGUACCAACUUUGUCACUAAUUGGCUAUGUGACACUGGCCUGUGUGACUGUCCCUCAGUGCUGUGUAUGUUCAAUGAUGCCCUUUCAGCUUUCAGAACACUGAGAGACAGAAGCACGGAACAGGCAGCUGAAUGAUGUUAGGAAAGCAUGGUCUCCAUCAUGACGUGCCUGGGGCUUGAUUCUUUAAGUUCUAGGAAUGAGAGGGUAAAGGUAAGAAGAUCCAAAAUGUAAGUGGACAGCACUACAAAAGGAAUAGAUAAAAGUGAUGUUAUUUUGAUGUAUGGACAAUUAAUUGUACUAGCUCGUAAAGUCCUGCUAUAAGGUAAUAGAGGGGAGUGUCAAGCUUUCCUUGAUGAUAUCCUUAGAUUUAGGUCCUAUUAAAAAUAUUCUCUUCCCAGUUUUCUUUUCUUCAGUCUCUGAAACUCUCUAUUCCCCUCCAACAAACAGUAGAUAGAUACACAAACAUGUACACAUACACAACACCACAAAAAGAUACACACACAUAUACACACUGUAUAAAUACACAUAUAUUUAAUAUCAGAUCUAGAAGUAAUGCGUGAAAAUAUUUUGGAUGAUUCUCUAAGUUCGUAAGCUCCUACUCAUAGUCUACAAAGUGCAAGAGACUUUUGUAAAUUUCCAGUAGAAGCCAUUGUUGUGUUCAUAAAGGCAAAGGAUUUAUUUCUCUCAAUUAUGGAAUAAUUUUUAUUAUGAGAUGAAUCAUUCAGAAGGUACCUCAGGCCAUUCACAAAAUUAGCCUGUUGUUGCUAGCUGGCCAAUAUUACAUUAACAUCUCAACUACCUGGAGGCUUCUUAGCAAACAACCACAACUCUCUGAAAAAUAGAGGAAAACAGGGAAUGGACAAAAAUGAUCUCUGAACAGGUACUCUCAAUCAUAUUGCUCAGGAGGGAAAUUCUCACUGGCUGCCACUUGGUUUCAAUUAGAUUUCCUUCCUGUAAAAUACAAAUAAAAAAAUUUUGCUUAUCUUGGAUCUUAACAUAUAACAAAUCGACUUUAAAAAUUAGGAGCAAUAAGAAUAUUACAAAAUGGGUAUACACUGACAAGUACAUGAAGUUAUUGCUGAGAAGACAGAAGAUUAAAACAAAUAAAAAGAAGAAUAUAGACCUCAAAAUUGUAGGAGUGUGGAAUCAUUAGCAUUGGGACAAGUAUCAUUCUGCAGCUCAAAAGUCAUUGAAGGCGGUGAUCCCAGUGUAAAAAUUGAUGUUCUAAAGUUAACCUUGAGUCAUCAAGAAAAAGUUAAAUUAUAUUGGGUUGCCUUUGUUACAGAAGGCAAGAAAAUAUAAACUGAUUUUAGCAAGACCUUCACCUAUGAAGCUGACAUUUAGUGUGUAACUUUAUAAUGGUCAAAUCACUGCCAAAGGCACUUUGUGGACUUCAUCUCAAUGAAUCAAUGGUUAGAAUAAAAUAGAAUUAUAAAAUGAAAUAAAUCAUUCUGGGUCCUGUCCAUUGGCUAUAAGUUCCUUAGUCACUCUGAAGCUGGAAAAUAUAUUUCCCAGACUCCUCUUCCAAUUUUCCUGAUGGGCAUUACACAUGGAAGCCAAUUGUAGAGAGUGGAAGUUGGAAGAAAGAAGAAAACUGUUUUGUUUUGUUUUAUUUUUUUCCUGUUCUUGGUGGAGUCCUUAGCAGCCCCAGAUGAUGAAGAGCAAUGGAUGUUUGUAGGCAUCAGUCAGUUCCCAGGUGGAUUGAGCAUCUUCAGAGGGAAUGCAGACUCCUGGAUUCUUCAGAGGCCACCAUUGUUCCUAAUAGUCCUGAGACAGUAGAUUUAAAAGGUAGAUUUAAUUUGCCUGGAAAAUUCAGCCAUCCAGCAAUGCUAGCCAAGAAAAACAUACUGUUUGGUCUCCGUGUUAGUACUUGCUGAGGUUACAGUGAUUUAGAAUACUGUCAGCAAAAAUUCUGCUUAGCAAUUAAAACCACUUUGAUAAUUUUCUGAGAGCUGUGAUGCCCUGUGCAGAGACUCCAGUUGUUUCAUAGUGUGGCCUGGAGGAAAAAGAAGAGAAAGUGGGCAUAGCUAAAAUAUCAUGCCAGGAUCCUCUGGCACCAUGAGCAGGUGACAGAGUGGAUUAAUAGCUUCAACCCAAUUAAGUCAACAUUCCACAGUCAACAUUCAUUCAGCAAGUCUAGCAGCAGGAAGGUUUUCAAUGAGCAAGGUCCAUGACCAAACGCUUCAAGUGCAUGUAGGGUACACCACAGAUGUUUCAUAAUCAUCAUGCUUCUUUCCUUUCUUUAUGUAUUUUUUUCUUUAACACAUUCAGGCACUAAAUCACAGAAAUACUAAGUAAAAUUUCACUUAAGAAGCUACUGUACUCAUUUUUCCUAAAUAGAGCUUUUUUUUUCAGGGGUAAAAAAGGCCUUUGGGAAAGACAACCUUUUCUUAUUAAUGGGGGCAAGGUGAGGCAUAAUACAUUGAAUUCAUGCUUGUAUAAUUGUUUCCUCUUCACUGAGUUCUCAUCUCUCCCAUCAGCUCAGUCCCUAGUUCCCAUUCAAAAUAUUCCCUUGAAAUCAUCGAUUCUGAGGCUGACUUUAUUAAAAUAAAUGCAUAGAUAUACUGUCAAACCUCCACAUCUUUGGUUUCUACAGCCAUGGAUUCAACCAACUGCAGAGUGAAAAUUAUGAAAAAAAAAUUGAAAAUAAAUACAAAUUAAAAAAAUUAU